This 655-nucleotide ribosomal RNA is filed under the name Klebsiella pneumoniae. Its description in RNAcentral is "bacterial SSU rRNA". It matches the Rfam family "Bacterial small subunit ribosomal RNA", at positions 68 to 716 of the family's 1533-position model. Lineage: Bacteria; Pseudomonadati; Pseudomonadota; Gammaproteobacteria; Enterobacterales; Enterobacteriaceae. The record is from RNAcentral.
UAGCACAGAGAGCUUGCUCUCGGGUGACGAGCGGCGGACGGGUGAGUAAUGUCUGGGAAACUGCCUGAUGGAGGGGGAUAACUACUGGAAACGGUAGCUAAUACCGCAUAAUGUCGCAAGACCAAAGUGGGGGACCUUCGGGCCUCAUGCCAUCAGAUGUGCCCAGAUGGGAUUAGCUAGUAGGUGGGGUAACGGCUCACCUAGGCGACGAUCCCUAGCUGGUCUGAGAGGAUGACCAGCCACACUGGAACUGAGACACGGUCCAGACUCCUACGGGAGGCAGCAGUGGGGAAUAUUGCACAAUGGGCGCAAGCCUGAUGCAGCCAUGCCGCGUGUGUGAAGAAGGCCUUCGGGUUGUAAAGCACUUUCAGCGGGGAGGAAGGCGGUGAGGUUAAUAACCUUGUCGAUUGACGUUACCCGCAGAAGAAGCACCGGCUAACUCCGUGCCAGCAGCCGCGGUAAUACGGAGGGUGCAAGCGUUAAUCGGAAUUACUGGGCGUAAAGCGCACGCAGGCGGUCUGUCAAGUCGGAUGUGAAAUCCCCGGGCUCAACCUGGGAACUGCAUUCGAAACUGGCAGGCUAGAGUCUUGUAGAGGGGGGUAGAAUUCCAGGUGUAGCGGUGAAAUGCGUAGAGAUCUGGAGGAAUACCGGUGGC